GUCGUCGGGUCAAACCGGCGACUGCGUUGGCGUUGCGGGCUCGGUCCGUCGGUGCCCCACAAAGGGCUACUGGCGUGUCAACCGGCCCGCCCGUCCCCUCCUUCUGGAUUCCCGUUCCUGCUAUUGAGUUAGUGGGGACGUCACAGGGGGCUCAUCGUCGUGCGGCGUCAAAACCGUGGCGGCGGUGGGUCCCUGGGGCCCAGAUCGUUUACCGUGAAAAAAUUAGAGUGUUCAAAGCAGGCAGAUCCAAUUUUCUGCCACCGAAUACAUUAGCAUGGGAUAAUGGAAUAGGACCCUGUCCUCCUAUUUUCAGUUGGUUUUGGCAGCGCGAGGACUAGGGUAAUGAUUAAUAGGGAUAGUUGGGGGCAUUAAUAUUUAAUUGUCAGAGGUGAAAUUCUUGGAUUUAUGAAAGAUUAACUUCUGCGAAAGCAUCUGCCAAGGAUGUUUUCAUUAAUCAAGAACGAAAGUUAGGGGAUCGAAGACGAUCAGAUACCGUCGUAGUCUUAACCAUAAACGAUGCCGACCAGCGAUUAGGAGAC
Molecule: ribosomal RNA, 539 nt
Filed under: Acanthamoeba sp. VD-2014
Lineage: Eukaryota; Discosea; Longamoebia; Acanthamoebidae
Description: SSU rRNA
Rfam family: Eukaryotic small subunit ribosomal RNA
Source: RNAcentral